This 189-nucleotide ribosomal RNA is filed under the name Triticum aestivum (bread wheat). RNAcentral describes it as "partial small subunit ribosomal RNA". Lineage: Eukaryota; Viridiplantae; Streptophyta; Magnoliopsida; Poales; Poaceae. The record is from RNAcentral.
AUGCGCACCGCGCCGAAGAGCUUUUCGGGCAGCUCCUCCUCGGACUGGGACUCGACAAGGAAGCCCAUGUCGAUGGUCACCGAGGUGACCGCGCCCAGCGCCAGAUGCAGGAUGGCAUGGCGAUCGCCGAGCUGCCGAUGUCCACGUCGAUCUCGAGGUAGUCGUCGCCCCUGUGGUAGCGGCACGUGA